This 389-nucleotide ribosomal RNA is filed under the name Kareniaceae sp. RNAcentral's name for it is "partial small subunit ribosomal RNA". It matches the Rfam family "Eukaryotic small subunit ribosomal RNA", at positions 582 to 975 of the family's 1831-position model. Lineage: Eukaryota; Dinophyceae; Gymnodiniales; Kareniaceae. The record is from RNAcentral.
AUUCCAGCUCCAAUAGCGUAUAUUAAAGUUGUUGCGGUUAAAAAGCUCGUAGUUGGAUUUCUGCCGAGGACGACCGGUCCGCCCUCUGGGUGCGUAUCUGGCUCGGCCUGGGCAUCUUCUUGGAGAACGUAUCUGCACUUGACUGUGUGGUGCGGUAUCCAGGACUUUUACUUUGAGGAAAUUAGAGUGUUUCAAGCAGGCACACGCCUUGAAUACAUUAGCAUGGAAUAAUAAGAUAGGACCUCGGUUCUAUUUUGUUGGUUUCUAGAGCUGAGGUAAUGAUUAAUAGGGAUAGUUGGGGGCAUUCGUAUUUAACUGUCAGAGGUGAAAUUCUUGGAUUUUGGAAAGAUGAACUACUGCGAAGGCAUUUACCAAGGAUGUUUUCAUUA